GACGAACGCUGGCGGCGUGCUUAACACAUGCAAGUCGAGCGGUAAGGCCCUUUCGGGGGUACACGAGCGGCGAACGGGUGAGUAACACGUGGGUGACCUGCCCUCAGCUCUGGGAUAAGCCUGGGAAACUGGGUCUAAUACUGGAUAUGACUCCACGGUGCAUGUCGUGGGGUGGAAAGCCUUGUGCGGCUGAGGAUGGGCCCGCGGCCUAUCAGCUUGUUGGUGGGGUGANGGCCUACCAAGGCGACGACGGGUAGCCGGCCUGAGAGGGCGACCGGCCACACUGGGACUGAGACACGGCCCAGACUCCUACGGGGAGGCAGCAGUGGGGAAUCUUGCGCAAUGGGCGAAAGCCUGACGCAGCGACGCCGCGUGAGGGAUGACGGCCU
RNAcentral lists this ribosomal RNA (389 nucleotides) under uncultured bacterium. RNAcentral describes it as "bacterial SSU rRNA". It matches the Rfam family "Bacterial small subunit ribosomal RNA", at positions 28 to 417 of the family's 1533-position model. The record is from RNAcentral.